Molecule: ribosomal RNA, 450 nt
Filed under: uncultured bacterium
Lineage: Bacteria
Description: partial 16S ribosomal RNA
Rfam family: Bacterial small subunit ribosomal RNA
Source: RNAcentral
GUGGGGAAUAUUGGACAAUGGGGGAACCCUGAUCCAGCCAUGCCGCGUGUGUGAAGAAGGACUUUUGGUUGUAAAGCACUUUAAGCGAGGAGGAGGCUACCGAGAUUAAUACUCUUGGAUAGUGGACGAUACUCGCAGAAUAAGCACAGGCUAACUCUGUGCCAGCAGCCGCGGUAAUACAGAGGGUGCAAGCGUUAAUCGGAUUUACUGGGCGUAAAGAGCGCGUAGGUGGCCAAUUAAGUCAAAUGUGAAAUCCCCGGGCAUAACUUGGGAAUUGCAUUCGAUACUGGUUGGCUAGAGUAUGGGAGAGGAUGGUAGAAUUCCAGGUGUAGCGGUGAAAUGCGUAGAGAUCUGGAGGAAUACCGAUGGCGAAGGCAGCCAUCUGGCCUAAUACUGACACUGAGGUGCGAAAGCAUGGGGAGCAAACAGGAUUAGAUACCCCAGUAGUCC